This 253-nucleotide ribosomal RNA is filed under the name uncultured bacterium. Its description in RNAcentral is "partial 16S ribosomal RNA". It matches the Rfam family "Bacterial small subunit ribosomal RNA", at positions 524 to 776 of the family's 1533-position model. The record is from RNAcentral.
UACGGAGGGGGCUAGCGUUGUUCGGAAUUACUGGGCGUAAAGCGCGCGUAGGCGGCUUUGUAAGUUAGAGGUGAAAGCCCGGAGCUCAACUCCGGAACUGCCUUUAAGACUGCAUCGCUAGAAUUGUGGAGAGGUGAGUGGAAUUCCGAGUGUAGAGGUGAAAUUCGUAGAUAUUGGGAAGAACACCGGUGGCGAAGGCGGCCAUCUGGACCGCAACUGACGCUGAGGCGCGAAAGCGUGGGGAGCAAACAGG